Molecule: long non-coding RNA, 1972 nt
Filed under: Canis lupus familiaris (dog)
Lineage: Eukaryota; Metazoa; Chordata; Mammalia; Carnivora; Canidae
Description: lncRNA (ENSCAFG00030017323.1)
Source: RNAcentral
UGAGUCAUGAGUGGACAUUUUCCACACCAUCCCUUAAGAAAUAAACAGUAAGAUGAGUUACUUGUUACACUAUUUAUUAUUCCAGUAUGAAACUAAUUGGUGAGUUCAUUCUUUUAACAGCUGUCCCUAUUGUUCAAGAUUUUCCAAGGAAGAUUAAGGCCACUGGAUGGAAAAUAGAACUUAAAAAUCUAAUAGUCAUAACUUUAAAAAGCCACAAAGCAUGUCUGAAGAAUUAAGUAAAAACAAUAAAUAGGUCACUUUACAAGAGUUCAGUGAUCUUGAACUUCCUAUUCCACUUACCCACAUUAAGGUUGUGUUGGUUAGUGUCAGUGGGAAAAACUUACCCUAAAAUGUAAAAUAUUAGUAAUGAGUCAACCUCAAAGGGUUUACAAUGAGUUUGAAUAACUAUUCGGUGUUCAAAGUCUUUGGGGAUCUUAAUUAAAUGUCUACAAUCUCCUAGAACAGACCACAAACUUAGAGAGAACUGGCUUUUUUCCAGGAUUGUCUCAGCAUCUUCUUGUUCCUAUCAGAAAGUUAAUUUCUAAAUUCCCAUGGCCCUUAAAUUUAAUAUCUUUUCCAUUUAUCCUCAGUGGAUGUUCCUUUGCUGCUGACUUAGUAAAGUUGAAGGAAAAUUGAUAUAUGCAGAAGAUAUACAGUAGUAGGAAGAACGGUGAAAAUCAGAUACCAAAGAGUAAUCACAAAAGGAGAUUAUCCAAGCCAUCUAGAAUUCUUGGGGGAGAGAUGAGAGAUAGUAUGAUUGCUCUGGAGAUUUCUGGAAGAGAUCAAGUUGGAGAAAAAAAUGAAAGCAAGCAAAAAUCUGUCACUGUUGUUUGUGAUAGUAACCAUGCCACUAAGGAAAUGAUUUUAAAAGAAAUAAUGCCUAAAUCAGCGAUUUAACGCAGACUUUUGGGAAUGUGGGAAAAACUGCAAAUAGGAAUUAAGCGUGCUUACUGAGCAAGUGUCACUGGCAGGGAGGUGUGCUGCGGCCGCUGGGGCACGGGCAGGAAGCAGGGGCGGGCCGGGUCUCUGCACCCCGAGGCGCUGCGGCCUCCCUCCAGCACCCCAGCUGGCACAGGCCCAGGAUGCCAGCGGCACGCGGCAGCAGUGACUUGACGAAUCUCGGCCGCAGCACCCCGAAGAGCCCUGUAGAAAAUUGGAUUCACAAUUUACUACCACGCACGCAUGCCCCCGACACGACGGCGUUUAAUAUAAUAUAAUUAAGAAUUUAAAUUUCAGGGACGCCUGGGUGGCUCAGCGGUAGAGCGUCUGCCUGUGGCCCAGGUCGUGACUCCGGGGUCCCGGGAUCGAGUCCCCGCAUGGAGCCUGCUUCUCCCUCUGCCUGUGUCUCUGCCUCUUUCUGUGUCUCUCAUGAAUAAAAAAAUAAAAUCUUAAAAAAAAAAAAAAAAAAGGCUUUUAAAUUUCACCUCCAGAAAAAUCCUGCCCUUUAGAAUACGGAAGGCACUGUGCGUCGUUUAGAGCAGGCCUUCCGUGUUCCCUCCCUCGGGCUGCCUUGGCUGUGCUCUGCUGAGCGCUCCUUCGCUCCAGUUGGAGGAGGAGAAAUGCUGGAGAGUAGAUACAAGAAUAUUUAGAGACUCCAGUACGGACAGGGUUAGAGACCAGCCAAUCUCUAACCUAUAUUCUGCAAAAUGUAGACUUCCGUGAACACAGGUGCCUCUGUGAUCUUUAACAUGGUAGUUCAGUGCUCGUCAAACCUUCCUUUCAACCUAUCAGGCACAGCACAAAACAUGACCCGAUGAACCAGAGACUGGGAUAUGAUCUAAAACAAACUUCUGAAGCACAGUUCUUGCUUUAUAUUAAAAAAUAGCCUACCUCAUUGCAUAUGGUUUAUAUGUGGUUUUUUAUUUUGACAUAAAAUAUUGCCCUUUCCUCCAUCUUUAAAAUGCUCCAAGUUUAGUCUGUGGUUUUGAAUAACAAGGGCACAGGGACACAUACCCCCUGGACACAGUUUAAG